GCCUACGAGUGGUUCGGUGGGCCGGCACGUUUACUUUGAACAAAUUUGAGUGCUCAAAGCAGGCCGAUUGUUGCCUGAAAAUUGUGUGCAUGGAAUAAUGGAACAGGACCUUGGUUCUAUUUUGUUGGCUUUUCUGAACUCGAGGUAAUGAUUAACAGGGACAGACGGGGGCAUUCGUAUUGCGACGUUAGAGGUGAAAUUCUUGGAUCGUCGCAAGACGAACCGAUGCGAAAGCGUUUGCCAAGAAUGUUUUCGCUAAUCAAGAACGAAAGUUAGAGGUUCGAAGGCGAUCAGAUACCGCCCUAGUUCUAACCAUAAACGAUGCCAGCCAGCGAUGCGCCGAAGUUCCUCCGAUGACUCGGCGCGCAGCUUCCGGGAAACCAAAGCUUUUGGGUUCCGGGGGAAGUAUGGUUGCAAAGCUGAAACUUAAAGGAAUUGACGGAAGGGCACCACCAGGAGUGGAGCCUGCGGCUUAAUUUGA
Molecule: ribosomal RNA, 481 nt
Filed under: Caenidae environmental sample
Lineage: Eukaryota; Metazoa; Arthropoda; Insecta; Ephemeroptera; Caenidae
Description: SSU rRNA
Rfam family: Eukaryotic small subunit ribosomal RNA
Source: RNAcentral